RNAcentral lists this long non-coding RNA (6806 nucleotides) under Homo sapiens (human). RNAcentral describes it as "HSALNT0280317". Lineage: Eukaryota; Metazoa; Chordata; Mammalia; Primates; Hominidae. The record is from RNAcentral.
AUAUUCUUUAUUGUUUUCCUGUUUUCAGUUUCAUUGAUUUGUGCUGUAAUUUCUGUUACUUCUUGUUUUCUGCUUGCUUUAGGUUUAUAUUGCUCUUCUCUAGUUUCCUAAGGUGGAAACUUAGAUUGCUGUUUAGAUCUUUUCUCUUUUCUAAUAAUAUGCAUUCACGGCUAUAAAUUUCUCUCUAACCACUACUUUUGCUGCAUUCAACAAGUUUUGAAAAGUUGUAUUUUCAUUUUCAUUUAGUUCAAAAUAUUUUAAAAUUUUUCUUGAUACUUGACACAUAUGUUUAGAAGUAUGCUUAAUAUUCAAAUAUUUUGAAAAUUUUCAGCUAUCUUUCUAUUAUUGAUUUCCAACUUAAUUCCACUGUGACCUGAGAGCAAACUUUGUAUGAUAUCUUUUUUAAGUUUGUUAGGAUGUUUUAUGGCCCAGAAUGCACGUUCUGAAUGUUGGAAGCUGAAUGUUCCAUGUGAGCUUGAGAAGAAUUUGUAUUCUGCUUUGUUGGAGGAAGUAUUCUAAAUCUACGGAUGUCAGUUAGAUCCAGUUAAUUGAUGGUGUUCUUCAGUUCAACAAUGCCUUACUGAUUUUCUGCCUGCUGUAUCUGUCAAUUACUGAUAGAGAAGUUUUGAAGUUUCCGGCUAUAAUAAUAGAUUUGUCUAUUUCUCCUUGAAGUUCUAUCAGUUUUGCCUCACAUACUUUGAUGAUCUGUUGUUAGGUACAUACAUGUUGAGGAUUGCUAUGUCUUCUUGGAGAAUUGGCCCCUGUAUAAUUGUAUCAUACCCUUCCUUAUCCCUGAUAAUUUUCUGGUCUGCUUUGUCUGAAAUUGGUAUUGCUACUAUAGCUUUCAUUUGAUUUGUGUUAUCAUGGUAUAUCUUUCUCUAUCCCUUUACUUUUAAUGUAGCUGUGUCUUUAUAUAUAUAGUGGGCUUCAUUAAAUAUAAUAGGAAUUAUAUAGUUGGGUCUUGUUUUUUCUAUACACUCUGACAGUCUCUGCCUUUUAAUUGGUGAUUUAAACUAUUAUUCACAGUGAGUAGUAAUAUAGUUGGAUUAGUAUCUACAAUGUUUGUAACCGUUUUCUAUUUGUUGCACUUUUUCUUUGUUUCAUUUUUAUCACCCCCACCCCCCGCCCCCAUUUUCCUGCCUUCUCUGGUUUUAACUGAGCAUUUUAUAUGAACCCAUUUUCUCUCUUCUCUUAGCACAUCAAUGAUAUUUCUUUGAAAAAAUGUUUUAGUGUUUGUCUUAGAGUUUGCAAUAUAUAUUUACAACUAAUCUAAGUACACUUUCAAAUAAUACUAUAAUGCUUCACGGGUAAUGCAGAUACCUUAUAACAAAGCAUUUCCAAUUACUUUCUUCCAUUCCUUGUACCAUUGCUGUCAUUCAUUUCACUCAUCCAUAAGCUAUAACUACCCAAUACAUUGUUGCUAUUACUCUUACUUUGAACAGUUAUUUAUUAAAUCAAUUUAAAAUAUGAAAAAUGAAAGAUCUUGUUUAAAUCUUGUUGAUUCCCUGCUAAUGUUCUUCCUUCCUUUCUUUCUUUCAGAUCAGAUCUGAAUUUCUGACCUAUAUCAAUUUCCUUCUCUCUGAGGAACUUAUUUGAGUAUUUCGUGCAAGGCAAGUCUACUGGCAACAAAUUACCUCAGUUUUUGUCUGAGAAAGUCUUUUUUUCCUUCUUCACUUUAGAAGGAUAACUUCACUGGAUGAAGAAUUUUAAGCUUGUGUUUUUCUUUAUUUUUCUUUCAACACUUUCAAUAUUUCACUUUAUUCUCUUCUUGCUUGCAUGGUCCCCGAUGAGAAGUCUGAUGUAAUUCUUAUCCUUGUUGCUUUAUAGGUAAUGCUUCCCCCAACUCUCUCAUUUCUUUCAAGAUUUUCUCUUAGCUUUUGAUUUUCUGCAGUUUGAAUGUGAAAUGCCUAGAUGUCGAUUUUUUGGAUUUGUCUUGCUUGGUGUUGUCUAACCUUCCUGGAUCUGUGUUUUGAUGUGUUUCAAUAAUUUCAGAAAAUUCUGAGCUAUUAUUACUUCAAAUAUUUCUUCUGUUCUUCUUUCUCUUUCUUUUCCUUUUAGUAUUCCCAUUAUGUAUAUGUUACACCUUUUGUAAUGAUUAUACACUUCUUGGAUAUUUCGUUAUUUUUCCCAUUCUUUUUUUCUCUUUGCCUUCCAGUUUGGAAAGUUUCUGUUGACCUAUCACCAAGCUCAUUAAUUCUUUCCCCAGACAUUUCCAACCUGCUGAUGAGCCUUUAAAUACAUUCUUCAUUUCUUCAUUUCUGUCACAAUGUUUUUUUAUUUCUAGCAUUUCCUUUUGAUUCUUUCUUAGGGUUUUCAUCUCUGUGCUUACAUUACCCACCUGUGCCUUCAUGUUGUCUAUUGUUUCCACUAGGGCUUCGUAUUAGUCUGUUCUCACACUGCUAUUAAAGACAUAUCUGAGACUGGGUAAUUUAUAAAGGCAAGAGAUUAAUGGACUCACAGUUCCACAUGGCUGGGGAGGCCUCACAAUCACGGCAGAAGACAAAGGAAGACCAAAGGGACUUCUUACAUGGUGGCAGGCAAGAGAGGGAGCUUGUGCAGGGGAACUCCUCUUUAUAAAACCAUCAGAUCUCAUGAGACUUAGUCACUAUCACAAGAACAGCAUGGGAAAGGCCCGCCCCCAUGAUUCAGUUACCUCCCACUGGGUCCCUCCUAUGACACAUGGGAAUUGUGGGAGCUACAAUUCAAGAUUACAUUUGGGUGGGGACACAGCCAAACCAUAUCAGGCUUUUUCUGUUUUGACUACCUGGAGUACUACAAUUCAAUUCUGGCACUAAUGACCUAGAGUUAGCACCAAAUUCCACAAAUUAAUGGCUCAGUCCUCCACAAGACUGCUUCUUAUUCCAGAUGCCAGCCACAAGUGGAGUCCCCAGUCCCCAGGCUCCCUGCACCUCUGACUGAUUAUAAAUUUGGGAGUUCCCAUAACUACCUCAGUUUUGAUAAUUCGAUAUGGCUCAGAACUCACUGAAAGUAGACUAUGUGUAAAACUCUACAUGUAGAGUUUUAUUAUAAAGUAUACACUUAGGACAAGAUCUGGAAGGGCUCUGGAUGCAAAAUUUUCAUACUCUCUUCCCAAGGAAUCUGAGUGCAUCAUCCUCCCUGUACACCAGUAUGUUCACCAACCAGAAAACUCCACUGAGUUUCAGUGUACACAUUUUUUAUGUGGAAUAUGAUUACACAGGCAUGAUUGGAUAUGCAAUUGGCCACAUAAUUGAGCUCAGUCUCUAGCCCUCUUUUCCAUGCAGGUAAAACUGGCCCAAAGUUCCAGCCUUCUAAUCGUGUGUUUGGUCUUUCUGGUGUCCAUCUCCCAUCCUGAAGCUAACUAGGAGUCUGUCAUGAGUUACCUCAUUAGCAUAACAAAUAAUUUCUAUCUCUCAGGAAAUUCCCAGGAUGUUUGAAGUUCUUUGUCAGGAACUAAGAUCAAAGGCCAGAUAAACUUUUUUUUUUUUUUUUUUAAAGACAAGGUCUUGCUCUGUUGCCCAGGCUGGAGCACCGUAAGGCAAUCUUGGCUCACUGCAACCUCCACCUCUUGGGCUCAAGCGAUCCUCCCACCUCAGCCUCCCAAGUAGCUGGGACUAUGGGUACAUACCACCUUGCCUGGCUAAUUGUUUGAUUUUUUGUAGAGAUGUGAUCUCACUAUGUUGCCCAGGCUGAUCUCAAACUGCUGGGCCCAAGUGAUCCUCCCGUCUCAGCCUCCCAAAGUGCUGGGAUUACAGGUCUGAGCUACCAUACCUGGCCAAAUUCUUUAUUAUACCACAGAGCCCUUAAUAUAUCAAUAAUAGUUGUUUAAGUUUCUUAUCUGAUAAUUCCAAAAUCUGAAUAUAUCUGAGUCAGAUACUGAUGCUUGCUUUGUCUCUUCAGACUUUAUUUUUUCCUUCCCUUAGCAUAUCUCAUAAUUUUUUUCUGUUGGAAGUGAUCAUGCUAUAUCUAGUAAUAGAAACUGAGUUAAUUGGGCUUUUAAUAUAAGGCUUUAUGUUGAUCUGGCUAGGAGCUAGGCUACGUUUAAUGUUAAUUGUAACGCAUAUAUGCCAGAGGCUCCAGUUUUCUAUAGUUUCCUUUUAUUCCCUGCUUCCAUGGUGCCUUUAGGUUCCGCUAAGAACUCUUUCUUAAAUAGAUUACGUCUUUCAGUUCUCUCAGUUGUAAUCCACCGUUUUUUUACUGGAGCCUUGCUGAUGUGGUGGUAAGACUUUAAGGAGGGUAAGCACUCUAUAAUCUUAUAAUUAAAUCUCAGCUAUUUUUAGUGGGCCUGAGUCCCUGAGCUGUGACAUUCAGCAUUUCUCAGCCUUUUUUUUCCUUAUCAUUAUGUGAGACACGAAGGCUAGGGGGAACUAGCAUUGUCUAGUUGCCCUUCUUCUUGGUCACAUAAGACUCUGGUAAUUUCCCUUGAUGUAACUCUUGUGACAGAGAACAGAAAACUCUGGGCUUAUUUCAAAAUGGCACUUCUUCUUUCCUCUUGCUCAAAGCAAAGGAGAUUUGUCUCCCAUAUGAUUUUUACUCUUAUGGGGCUCCUAGUGGCACAGAAAACCCUGGGCUUAUUUCAAAAUGGCACUUCUUCUUUCCUCUUGCUCAAAGCAGAGGAGAUUUCUCUCCCAUAUGAUUUUUACUUUCGGUGGGGCACCUAGUGGUAAAUCCCACAAAAGUGUGGAGCUUCCUAAAACUGGGCCAUCAGGAGUUUUUAAAUCUCAAGUUAGUCUGCACUCAGCCUUCAGCAGUUUAUCAAUUACCAUUUAAGUGUUCCUACCAGUUACUGGUUCCAGAAGCCUCUGCUCUUGGUAAACUGUAAUUCUUUGUAUUUACACAUCUCUACAGUUUUGGGGGUGGCAGUUUGCCCUGUGACCUCAAUUCUCUGGUAGAUUUAAGAAAAGUUGUUGAUUGUUAGCUUGUUCAGCAUUUUUCUUGCUGUGAGAACAGGAAUGUUGACUUCUAAGCUCUUUGCAUAUCAGAGCUAAUCAGGAAGCAUGACCGGUAUACAACUAGAGGAAGGGUGCUUAAAUCUAAGUGGAAUUAGCCUAUCUAUGGUUCAUGGCAAUCAUGCAUAUUGAUUACAGCCAGACGCCACUGAUUCUUUCAUCAAACCAACUUUUCUCCUAGAAUUGCAUUCUAUGAAUAUAAUAUUUUGUUGAGUAGUUAGUCAAAUUAAAUGCAGUUUUCAAAAGGGGAAUCUUUUAGGGAGAUAUGGCCUUAUGGUUUGAACCAGAUUUCAUUUCCACUGUAUCAAAUCCCAGUGGCCUUCUCAGUGGCAGAAUGGGUUUUUCACAAAUUCUCUGUAUUGUAGUUGUUAAUUCUUAAGUAAAGUAACUCUGGAAUGUGCUUUCUUUGGCUUAUAAGUAGACCUCCUCUCCACCUUAUGAGUUUCCAACUCUUUGCCCUUGAAUUAGACACAUGUUGGUAGAUUGUAGCCUAAGGCCUACUACUUACUAGUACUUGAUAAAAUCUUCUCCCUAGGAUGAAUGGGCAGUGGACUAAAGACAAGAAUUACAACUUUUUAAUCAAAGUGGCUGAAUCCAUAACUAUAUCUUUCUAAAUUAAGCCUGUUUUGUUAUGAACUGUCUCUAGAUUACCAUUAGCAAUGUUGUUGGUCGGAUGAUUUGGAGAAAAUGAAAGAACAUCAUGAUUUUUAUUUUCCUUCUUUCUAUAAUCCAAUGAUUCUCAACUAGGGGCAGUUUUACUCCUGCAGGGACAUUUGGCAAUGUCUGGAGACGUUUCUAAUUGUCACACCUAGAGAAGUGAUUGCUAUUGGUGUCUUGUGGGUAGAGGCCAGGGAUGCUGCUAAACAUCCUACAACACACAGGACAGUUCCCAUAACAAAUAAUUAUCCACAAAAAGUUAUCUGGCCCAAAUUGUCAGUAGGGCGGAGGUAAAGAAGCCCUGCUAGAAUCUGAGAAAUUAGCCACCAUGGCUUCUUUGUCUAUACUAGGAUCCUAAAGAUCUCAUUAUUUUUAUCUCUUUAUUAAUUUCUGUAUUACAAAGAUAAUAUUUUUCUCUGGACUAUUUUCUCAUUUGACCAAGGAAGUUAGUCUUGGAAUCCUGCCCCACGAAGCUUACAGGUCAGUAAUUCACAGUAUAAUCUCCUUAUUGGAGUGGAGGCCUAUGGGUGCUGGAGUCCUAAGAGUUAAACACCUUUGCACAAUUAUAGUGGUUUAGUGUACAGAUAAAAUUUCGAAAAUAGCCUUAGUGGAAGAAUGAGAACCAAGCUCUUUUGACCUGUUGAGCUUCACAUAUGGUUUACAGAUGCUCUCCAAUUUCAUCCUCAUAACAGCCUCACCAGACAAUCUUGUUCUUGUCAGACAAAGAGUCAAGAAGAGAACAGAAUGAUACUUUGAAGAUAAUUUUAUCCUGUUCCUGUUAAUUAGUCAAAUAUGUGCCUUGUAUAAAUUUACAACUUACACAGCGUCUACAGAGAAAUAUAAAAAUCACUCAUUAUUAUACUCUCAGAGAUAACUGUUUAGUGUAUUUCUUUGCUACUUAUUUUUUUUUUGCAUGUAAAUGCAUUUUAAGUGUAAUUGCAUUUAUUCUGUGUACAUCACCUUUAUCUUUUCCCCUCCCCUCAGUAUCAUUUCAUGGGCAUUUUAGGAGGUCAGUUGAUAUUUUCUUUCUUUUUCAGAUUUGAUAAGCUAAUUUUUUUUAUUUCAAUAGAUUUUUGGGGAACAGGUGGUGGUUGGGUUACAUGAGUAAGUUCUUUAGUGGUGAUUUCUGAGAUUUUGGUGUACCCAUUACCCAAGCAGCAUACACUUGAGUUGAUAUUUGAUAUUUUCUAAAGUAUGAUAUUUAAUGAUUUUAAAUACUUC